GACGAACGCUGGCGGCGUGCUUAACACAUGCAAGUCGAACGGAAAGGCCCUGCUUGCAGGGUACUCGAGUGGCGAACGGGUGAGUAACACGUGGGUUAUCUGCCCUGCACUUCGGGAUAAGCCUGGGAAACUGGGUCUAAUACCGGAUAGGAGCCAUUUUUAGUGUGAUGGUUGGAAAGUUUUUUCGGUGUAGGAUGAGCUCGCGGCCUAUCAGCUUGUUGGUGGGGUAAUGGCCUACCAAGGCGGCGACGGGUAGCCGGCCUGAGAGGGUGGACAGCCACAUUGGGACUGAGAUACGGCCCAGACUCCUACGGGAGGCAGCAGUGGGGAAUAUUGCACAAGGGGCGCAAGCCUGAUGCAGCGACGCCGCGGGGGGGAUGACGGCCUUCGGGUUGUAAACUCCUUUCGCUAGGGACGAAGCUUUUUGUGACGGUACCUAGAUAAGAAGCACCGGCUAACUACGUG
RNAcentral lists this ribosomal RNA (465 nucleotides) under uncultured bacterium. RNAcentral's name for it is "partial 16S ribosomal RNA". It matches the Rfam family "Bacterial small subunit ribosomal RNA", at positions 28 to 507 of the family's 1533-position model. The record is from RNAcentral.